Molecule: ribosomal RNA, 118 nt
Organism: Callithrix jacchus (white-tufted-ear marmoset)
Lineage: Eukaryota; Metazoa; Chordata; Mammalia; Primates; Cebidae
Source: Ensembl
GUCUAUGGCCAUACCACCCUGAAUGUGCCAGAUCUCCUCUGAUCUCGGAAGCUAAGCAGGGUUGGCCUGGAUAGUACUUGGAUGGGAGACUGCCUGGCAAUACUGGGUGCUGUAGGCU